UGAGGAAUAUUGGGUCAAUGGGCGGGAGCCUGAACCAGCCAAGUCGCGUGAGGGAAGACGGUCCUAUGGAUUGUAAACCUCUUUUGUCGGGGAGCAAAGAGGCCACGUGUGGUCAAAAGCGAGAGUACCCGAAGAAAAAGCAUCGGCUAACUCCGUGCC
This 159-nucleotide ribosomal RNA is filed under the name uncultured bacterium. RNAcentral's name for it is "partial 16S ribosomal RNA". It matches the Rfam family "Bacterial small subunit ribosomal RNA", at positions 355 to 509 of the family's 1533-position model. The record is from RNAcentral.